This is a long non-coding RNA of Carica papaya (papaya), 857 nucleotides long. RefSeq lists it as uncharacterized. The record is from RefSeq and is a predicted model, not a curated record. Lineage: Eukaryota; Viridiplantae; Streptophyta; Magnoliopsida; Brassicales; Caricaceae.
CUUGUUAUAGCCAUAAGUUUGGGUCUACUGAAAAGUUCAUGAAACAAGAGAUCAAGCACAGAAGAGAAAGGGGGUAUUUUUACUGGAUUCACUCUUACCCACCUGACCAAAUUCAUUCGCAGUCACCAUAACCGAAUUCUCGGAUGAUUCUUCAAUGGGAAUUAUCCUUGAGCUCAUGCAGAAUAAAUAUUUAGAUGUGCUUUUCUGGUCAUCAAUGAACCUUCUCGGCCACCAUUUUUAUGUGUAAAAAAGUGGCUAAAAAUAUGAAUAGAAGUUCGGAUCUAAUACCAACUGAGAUUGGACAAGAUACUCAAAGUCCAGAUCAACUAGGCAAAUGUGCAAAUCAGAGUCGUAUUCUACUCGAAGGAUGCUUUGAGAGAAAGACAAUUUGACAAACGGGUUAUACAGGUUUUAGUAAACAUUUUGUUGAAAAAUGAUUUGUUACACUUAAUAGAUUCUUUCAUCUAGAAACCAAAAUUCCACUGCUUGGAUUUCAUGUACUCUACUUCCAAAAUUUUCUCGAGCAUUUCUUGAGAUGAAAAAUAGCUAUAUUUUUACAUCGAAUCAUAUGAUGUGAAAUAUUACAGCUUGUUUUCUUGAGAUAAUGUCUUUCAAAGGGACUUUGCACAUUUUUCUGUUUUGUUGCAAUCUAAUAUAUGCCAAUAUGUGGUUUCUUUAGUGUUUCUCUAUAUAUCACCUCCUAUAUUACUGUCUAGUUCAUUUAUCCAUCCAUAUAAACUUUUGUUUUUGUACAAAUUGGUGUAGAAAUAUAUGGGAGGAAAUUAGUGUUCUAAAUUGUUUUUUCUGCAUUCCCUAGUGCAAACAAGAAUGUAGCUAAUUCUGUUUAUAUUUCAUUU